ACGAACGCUGGCGGCUGCUUAACACAUGCAAGUCGAACGGAGUGGCGAACGGGUGAGUAACGCGUGAGCAACCUGCCUAUGACAGUGGGAUAGCCUCGGGAAACCGGGAUUAAUACCGCAUAGUCAUAGAUGGGCUCGCGUCUGUUUAGCUAGUUGGUGAGAUAACAGCUCACCAAGGCGACGAUCAGUAGCCGGUCAGAGAGAAAGAACGGACACAUUGGAGCGGAGACACGGUCCAAACUACUACGGGAGGCAGCAGUGGGGAAUAUUGCACAAUGGGGGAAACCCUGAUGCAGCGACGGCGCGUGAACAAAGAAGGUAUUCGUAUCGUAAAGUUCUGUCCUAUGGGAAGCAGUACCAUAGAAGAAAGCUCCGGCUAAAUACGUGCCAGCAGCCGCGGUAAUUC
This 406-nucleotide ribosomal RNA is filed under the name uncultured bacterium. RNAcentral's name for it is "partial 16S ribosomal RNA". It matches the Rfam family "Bacterial small subunit ribosomal RNA", at positions 29 to 526 of the family's 1533-position model. The record is from RNAcentral.